AUGGUAUCAAAUGAGAUUCCUUCUGACAAUGAUUCUGAUUCCGAGGAUGAUAUUUCUCCAGCGUUGUUGCAAAAAGCCUCUGAGAUUACUGUUACAACUGCUGGAGAACAAGAGAACAGUGGUGCAGCUGGCGAAGUUCAAAAAUUAACACAGGAAGAUAUACUGAUAUUCCUUGAAAAUGACAGUAUAGAAGCUGCUCAGAGUGCUAGCCAAGAAGUGCGCAGUCAUCACGUACCCCAUGUGGACAUGGUCUUUGAUACGGAUGAUGCAACUUACAACUUUUACAAUGAGUACGCCUCAAUUGCUAGUUUUUCUGUGAUCAAAGCAUCUCGCUAUUGUGGCAAGAAACAAGGAGGCAGUGCAGCAACUCGGGUAACUUUCAAGUGCAAUCGGUCAGGAAAAGUAAUUGAUGCAGAAGAACAAGAGAAUAGGAAGAAGAAACGACGUGACACAAGGCAACAGAAGACAGGACAAGAGCCCUAUCGCAAUGCAAGGAAUAAAAAAGCAAACACCAUCGCAAUAGCAGGGUGUAAAGCUCAGCUCAUUGUCACCAAGAAGGAUGAGAAGUGGGUGAUAACAACCAUAAACCUAUAG
Molecule: ribosomal RNA, 594 nt
Filed under: Triticum aestivum (bread wheat)
Lineage: Eukaryota; Viridiplantae; Streptophyta; Magnoliopsida; Poales; Poaceae
Description: partial small subunit ribosomal RNA
Source: RNAcentral